This 82-nucleotide transfer RNA is filed under the name Candidatus Zhuqueibacterota bacterium. RNAcentral's name for it is "candidate division KSB1 bacterium (freshwater sediment metagenome) tRNA-Tyr". It matches the Rfam family "tRNA". Rfam says of the family: Transfer RNA (tRNA) molecules are approximately 80 nucleotides in length. Their secondary structure includes four short double-helical elements and three loops (D, anti-codon, and T loops). Further hydrogen bonds mediate the characteristic L-shaped molecular structure. tRNAs have two regions of fundamental functional importance: the anti-codon, which is responsible for specific mRNA codon recognition, and the 3' end, to which the tRNAs corresponding amino acid is attached (by aminoacyl-tRNA synthetases). tRNAs cope with the degeneracy of the genetic code in two manners: having more than one tRNA (with a specific anti-codon) for a particular amino acid; and 'wobble' base-pairing, i.e. permitting non-standard base-pairing at the 3rd anti-codon position. The record is from RNAcentral. RNAcentral also lists the same sequence under 4 other names. Lineage: Bacteria; Pseudomonadati.
GGGGAGGUUCCCGAGCGGCCAAAGGGAACAGACUGUAAAUCUGUCGGCGAAGCCUUCGGAGGUUCGAAUCCUCCCCUCCCCA